GGCGAACGCUGGCGGCGCGCCUAACACAUGCAAGUCGAACGAGCGAGAGAGAGCUUGCUUUCUCGAGCGAGUGGCGAACGGGUGAGUAACGCGUGAGGAACCUGCCUCAAAGAGGGGGACAACAGUUGGAAACGACUGCUAAUACCGCAUAAGCCCACGACCCGGCAUCGGGUAGAGGGAAAAGGAGCAAUCCGCUUUGAGAUGGCCUCGCGUCCGAUUAGCUAGUUGGUGAGGUAACGGCCCACCAAGGCGACGAUCGGUAGCCGGACUGAGAGGUUGAACGGCCACAUUGGGACUGAGACACGGCCCAGACUCCUACGGGAGGCAGCAGUGGGGAAUAUUGCACAAUGGGGGAAACCCUGAUGCAGCGACGCCGCGUGGAGGAAGAAGGUCUUCGGAUUGUAAACUCCUGUUGUUGAGGAAGAUAAUGACGGUACUCAACAAGGAAGUGACGGCUAACUACGUG
RNAcentral lists this ribosomal RNA (466 nucleotides) under uncultured bacterium. RNAcentral's name for it is "partial 16S ribosomal RNA". It matches the Rfam family "Bacterial small subunit ribosomal RNA", at positions 28 to 507 of the family's 1533-position model. The record is from RNAcentral.